Molecule: ribosomal RNA, 1992 nt
Filed under: Klebsiella oxytoca
Lineage: Bacteria; Pseudomonadati; Pseudomonadota; Gammaproteobacteria; Enterobacterales; Enterobacteriaceae
Description: bacterial LSU rRNA
Rfam family: Bacterial large subunit ribosomal RNA
Source: RNAcentral
GAUAGCUGGUUCUCCCCGAAAGCUAUUUAGGUAGCGCCUCGUGAACUCAUCUUCGGGGGUAGAGCACUGUUUCGGCUAGGGGGUCAUCCCGACUUACCAACCCGAUGCAAACUACGAAUACCGAAGAAUGUUAUCACGGGAGACACACGGCGGGUGCUAACGUCCGUCGUGAAGAGGGAAACAACCCAGACCGCCAGCUAAGGUCCCAAAGUCAUGGUUAAGUGGGAAACGAUGUGGGAAGGCCCAGACAGCCAGGAUGUUGGCUUAGAAGCAGCCAUCAUUUAAAGAAAGCGUAAUAGCUCACUGGUCGAGUCGGCCUGCGCGGAAGAUGUAACGGGGCUAAACCAUGCACCGAAGCUGCGGCAGCGACGCUUAUGCGUUGUUGGGUAGGGGAGCGUUCUGUAAGCCGUUGAAGGUGGCCUGUGAGGGUUGCUGGAGGUAUCAGAAGUGCGAAUGCUGACAUAAGUAACGAUAAUGCGGGUGAAAAACCCGCACGCCGGAAGACCAAGGGUUCCUGUCCAACGUUAAUCGGGGCAGGGUGAGUCGACCCCUAAGGCGAGGCCGAAAGGCGUAGUCGAUGGGAAACAGGUUAAUAUUCCUGUACUUGGUGUUACUGCGAAGGGGGGACGGAGAAGGCUAUGUUGGCCGGGCGACGGUUGUCCCGGUUUAAGCAUGUAGGCGGAUGUUCCAGGUAAAUCCGGAACGUUAUUAACGCUGAGGUGUGAUGACGAGGCACUACGGUGCUGAAGUGACAAAUGCCCUGCUUCCAGGAAAAGCCUCUAAGCAUCAGGUAACAUCAAAUCGUACCCCAAACCGACACAGGUGGUCAGGUAGAGAAUACCAAGGCGCUUGAGAGAACUCGGGUGAAGGAACUAGGCAAAAUGGUGCCGUAACUUCGGGAGAAGGCACGCUGAUGGUAAGUGAAGUGACUUGCUCAUGGAGCUGAAAUCAGUCGAAGAUACCAGCUGGCUGCAACUGUUUAUUAAAAACACAGCACUGUGCAAACACGAAAGUGGACGUAUACGGUGUGACGCCUGCCCGGUGCCGGAAGGUUAAUUGAUGGGGUUAUCCUCGCGGAGAAGCUCUUGAUCGAAGCCCCGGUAAACGGCGGCCGUAACUAUAACGGUCCUAAGGUAGCGAAAUUCCUUGUCGGGUAAGUUCCGACCUGCACGAAUGGCGUAAUGAUGGCCAGGCUGUCUCCACCCGAGACUCAGUGAAAUUGAACUCGCUGUGAAGAUGCAGUGUACCCGCGGCAAGACGGAAAGACCCCGUGAACCUUUACUAUAGCUUGACACUGAACACUGGUCCUUGAUGUGUAGGAUAGGUGGGAGGCUUUGAAGUGUGGACGCCAGUCUGCAUGGAGCCGUCCUUGAAAUACCACCCUUUAAUGGCUGGUGUUCUAACGUNGGGUUGCGGACAGUGUCUGGUGGGUAGUUUGACUGGGGCGGUCUCCUCCUAAAGAGUAACGGAGGAGCACGAAGGUCAGCUAAUCCUGGUCGGACAUCAGGAGGUUAGUGCAAUGGCAUAAGCUGGCUUGACUGCGAGCGUGACGGCGCGAGCAGGUGCGAAAGCAGGUCAUAGUGAUCCGGUGGUUCUGAAUGGAAGGGCCAUCGCUCAACGGAUAAAAGGUACUCCGGGGAUAACAGGCUGAUACCGCCCAAGAGUUCAUAUCGACGGCGGUGUUUGGCACCUCGAUGUCGGCUCAUCACAUCCUGGGGCUGAAGUAGGUCCCAAGGGUAUGGCUGUUCGCCAUUUAAAGUGGUACGCGAGCUGGGUUUAGAACGUCGUGAGACAGUUCGGUCCCUAUCUGCCGUGGGCGCUGGAGAAUUGAGGGGGGCUGCUCCUAGUACGAGAGGACCGGAGUGGACGCAUCACUGGUGUUCGGGUUGUCAUGCCAAUGGCAUUGCCCGGUAGCUAAAUGCGGAAGAGAUAAGUGCUGAAAGCAUCUAAGCACGAAACUUGCCCCGAGAUGAGUUCUCCCUGACUCCUUGA